RNAcentral lists this ribosomal RNA (253 nucleotides) under uncultured bacterium. RNAcentral describes it as "partial 16S ribosomal RNA". It matches the Rfam family "Bacterial small subunit ribosomal RNA", at positions 524 to 776 of the family's 1533-position model. The record is from RNAcentral.
UACGGAGGGGGCUAGCGUUGUUCGGAAUUACUGGGCGUAAAGCGCGCGUAGGCGGACCUGCAAGUCGGGGGUGAAAGCCCGAGGCUCAACCUCGGAACUGCCUUCGAUACUGCGGGUCUAGAGUCCGGGAGAGGUGAGUGGAAUUCCUAGUGUAGAGGUGAAAUUCGUAGAUAUUCGCAAGAACACCAGUGGCGAAGGCGGCUCACUGGCCCGGUACUGACGCUGAGGUGCGAAAGCGUGGGGAGCAAACAGG